UGUCACCUCUGUGUCAUGUCACCUCUGUGUCACUGUCAUUCACGUCAUGUCACCUCUGUGUCACUGUCACCCGCAUCAUGUCACCUGCAUCAUGACACCUCUGUGUCACUGUCACCCGCGUCACUGUCACCUCUGUGUCAUGUCACCUCUGUGUCACUGUCACCUCUGUGUCACUGUCACCUGCAUCACGUCACCUCUGUGUCACUGUCACCUCUGUCACUGUCACCCGUGUCGUGUCACCUGCGUUGUGUCACCUCUGUGUCACUGUCAUUCACAUUAUGUCACCUCUGUGUCGCUGUCAUCUCUGUGUCACUGUCACCC
This 321-nucleotide long non-coding RNA is filed under the name Numida meleagris (helmeted guineafowl). RNAcentral's name for it is "lncRNA (ENSNMEG00000002570.1)". The record is from RNAcentral. Lineage: Eukaryota; Metazoa; Chordata; Aves; Galliformes; Numididae.